UCAGGACGAACGCUGGCGGCGCGCUUAACACAUGCAAGUCGAGCGGUAAGGCUCCUUCGGGAGUACACGAGCGGCGAACGGGUGAGUAACACGUGGGCAACCUGCCCCCGGCUCUGGGAUAAGCCUGGGAAACUGGGUCUAAUACCGGAUAUGACCGCUGGCCGCAUGGUCUGGUGGUGGAAAGUUUUUUCGGCUGGGGAUGGGCCCGCGGCCUAUCAGCUUGUUGGUGGGGUAAUGGCCUACCAAGGCGACGACGGGUAGCCGGCCUGAGAGGGCGACCGGCCACACUGGGACUGAGACACGGCCCAGACUCCUACGGGAGGCAGCAGUGGGGAAUAUU
This 340-nucleotide ribosomal RNA is filed under the name Nocardiopsaceae bacterium ACTS140. RNAcentral's name for it is "bacterial SSU rRNA". It matches the Rfam family "Bacterial small subunit ribosomal RNA", at positions 24 to 365 of the family's 1533-position model. The record is from RNAcentral. Lineage: Bacteria; Bacillati; Actinomycetota; Actinomycetes; Streptosporangiales; Nocardiopsidaceae.